UCGCUCCUGAUCCGCCAGCGGGUUGACGCUGAUGACGCCGCCUCCAGGAGAUCCACCGACACUCGCCGCUGCAGCCGAGGAUCCCAAGGUGGUCGAUAACGACGACGCCGGGAACAGUAGAGGAGAAGCGGGUGCUCACUAGUGAGCCUGAGCAGGGCAGAAGGGAGGAGGAGGCCACCACAUCUGAGCUAUCUAUUUGUCUAUCUCUGAGCUUGGAUGCCUGCCCAGUUCGUUCAAUUCGGAUCCGAUUCACGGGUCUGAGAUUGCGAGAGAUUUAGGCUUUUUUCAGUGAGAUUGAUGCUUGCUUUAUCUGUGAAACUUUGAUGGUGGCUUCUGUCAUGUAUACAAGUGCUUGAGCAGUUGUGUCCAAAUAGUUGUGCUGUAAUUCUUACUUUAUUGAAUUCGCAAUCUGGAAUCA
This is a long non-coding RNA of Phragmites australis (common reed), 418 nucleotides long. RefSeq lists it as uncharacterized. The record is from RefSeq and is a predicted model, not a curated record. Lineage: Eukaryota; Viridiplantae; Streptophyta; Magnoliopsida; Poales; Poaceae. The transcript is spliced from 2 exons.